GACGUAGGGCGCGAGCGUUGUCCGGAUUUAUUGGGCGUAAAGAGCUCGUAGGCGGCUUGUCGCGUCGACUGUGAAAUCCCGAGGCUCAACUUCGGGCUUGCAGUCGAUACGGGCAGGCUAGAGUUCGGUAGGGGAGACUGGAAUUCCUGGUGUAGCGGUGAAAUGCGCAGAUAUCAGGAGGAACACCGAUGGCGAAGGCAGGUCUCUGGGCCGAUACUGACGCUGAGGAGCGAAAGCAUGGGUAGCGAACAGG
This 253-nucleotide ribosomal RNA is filed under the name uncultured bacterium. RNAcentral describes it as "partial 16S ribosomal RNA". It matches the Rfam family "Bacterial small subunit ribosomal RNA", at positions 524 to 776 of the family's 1533-position model. The record is from RNAcentral.